GAUGAACGCUGGCGGCGUGCUUAACACAUGCGAGUCGAACGGAAAGGCUCCUGCUUGCAGGGGUACUCGAGUGGCGAACGGGUGAGUAACACGUGGGUGAUCUGCCCUGCACUUCGGGAUAAGCCUGGGAAACUGGGUCUAAUACCGGAUAGGACCACAUUUUGGAUGGUGUGGUGGAAAGUUUUUCGGUGUGGGAUGAGCUCGCGGCCUAUCAGCUUGUUGGUGGGGUAAUGGCCUACCAAGGCGUCGACGGGUAGCCGGCCUGAGAGGGUGUACGGCCAAAUUGGGAAGGAGAAACGGCCCAGACGCCAACGGGGGGGAGAAGGGGGGAAUAUUGCACAAGGGGCGCAAGCUGGAUGCAGGGACGCCGGGUGGGGGAUGACGGCCUUCGGGUUGUAAACUCCUUUCGCUAGGGACGAAGCGAAAGGGACGGUACCUGGAGAAGAAGCACCGGAUAACUACGG
RNAcentral lists this ribosomal RNA (464 nucleotides) under uncultured bacterium. RNAcentral describes it as "partial 16S ribosomal RNA". It matches the Rfam family "Bacterial small subunit ribosomal RNA", at positions 28 to 506 of the family's 1533-position model. The record is from RNAcentral.